UAUAUUUUCUCCCCCUUUACAAUAUGAUAUUCUCUUUCUAUUUAUAGAGGAUAUUAGUAAUCAGGAUUUCCCAAAAUGAAACAAGGAAACUACCCAUUUCUAAUUACUACAGUACAUUAAAUGUAAAUAUUGGUCACAUGUUACAUUUAAUUUAUUGUAUUUCCCGUAAUUACUUUGAUUCGAUCUACAUUAUAAUAAGGAAAGGAUCCCUUAAUUUGUGGGAUUCGGUAAGCAGCAAUUUAGGUAACGCGCUUUUCCUGAUUUACUCGGGUUGAAUAUUGGAACCGACCUUCAUCUCAAACAUGGGGUAAAGGUACAUUCCUUUCGAUGAUUGCUUGAUCUGAAUACCAUACGACCUUGAUUCCUGAACCUAGCUAAAUGCAUCUCCUACGAUCUGGUUGAAUACCUCUCCCUUAGUUCGUGGCCUUUCCUGGCUUGAUCAUCUAUCGUUUUGGUAUCUUUCAACUUUCAAGCGUAUUCAAUAAUUUACGAGAUGAAAUUACACGUCUGGAGCUAAUUUAUAUUGAUCUCAGAAUUUAGGUAUAACAUUUUUCCCCAAGUCUCUGCUCGUGCGAGGAGAUCUUAUUGUGGCAUUAAUGCGAACACAGUUGAGACUUUUUAUUGACUCGCCUUGGUUUAUGUGUACACCCACCCAAUUGAGUGCUAGUGAACACGUCUUCACCCAAAUUGCGACUGCUUGAAUUUUGAGUACAUCUGAUAGGAGGUGUCCCUAUACCUUUUUGUUGUCGUUUCCAUCUUUAAUCAAAGCCCUUCGAUCUAGAAAUUUUAGAUCCAAUGACUCAAGCUAUCCCGUAAUCUCCCUUAUAAAUACUCCUAAAAGUCAUUCAUUCUUUUAUUUUCAACCGUCCCUUUCAUCUUAGAGAGAGAUUCUCCCAGGCCAUGUUAUCACUGUUGUCGAAGAUUUCAAAGACCAGAGUAAUCUUAGGCUUAUACAUUCUGGGUAUGGUCAAUACUACUUGUUUAGUUCAAUUUGGAGGCAAGUGGAAUGAAAAAAACGAGUACGUAGGGUACACAAUGACUGAGAUAUUAAUUCCACCAAAUUGUUCUCUUGACAACUUGGUAAAUUUGAUAAAAAAAAAUGAGAUAAAGGAUACAAGAGCAACUAUUGAAGUUUCUUAUCAAGUUGCCAAAGGAACAACACCAAUGAAGUUGGAAACAGACAACUUAUUCUUGUUCUACAUGGAAAUAAAGAAAAAAGUUGUUGCAAUAAUAACAGACUUACCAUUGUGUGUUACUAUAGUUCAAGAAUCAUGCAAUGAAAAUAACAUUUUUCUAAUAACAAAUCAGAAACGCUAUUAGAAAGAGGAAGACUUGCAGAAAUGCUCCAAUUGAGAAGACAAACAAGUAGAAAAAACAAAAGACAUAGCACAUUUCACAUCAAAACAAACCUAUCAUAGCUUUAUUUAUUAAAGGAAUGGCUUUCAUAUUCAUCAAUUGUUGUUUGUUUCAAAUUCAAAUACAUUGAUUGAUUACACAAA
Molecule: long non-coding RNA, 1499 nt
Organism: Humulus lupulus (European hop)
Lineage: Eukaryota; Viridiplantae; Streptophyta; Magnoliopsida; Rosales; Cannabaceae
Exons: 2
Source: RefSeq, a predicted model, not a curated record